This 27-nucleotide non-coding RNA is filed under the name Homo sapiens (human). Lineage: Eukaryota; Metazoa; Chordata; Mammalia; Primates; Hominidae. The record is from RNAcentral.
CCAGAAGCCUCAUAUUUUCACUGACCC